This 253-nucleotide ribosomal RNA is filed under the name uncultured bacterium. RNAcentral's name for it is "partial 16S ribosomal RNA". It matches the Rfam family "Bacterial small subunit ribosomal RNA", at positions 524 to 776 of the family's 1533-position model. The record is from RNAcentral.
UACAGAGGUGGCAAGCGUUGUUCGGAAUUACUGGGCGUAAAGGGCGCGUAGGCGGCCUUCUAAGUCAGACGUGAAAUCCCCCGGCUUAACCUGGGAACUGCGUCUGAUACUGGAUGGCUUGAGUUCGGGAGAGGGAUGUGGAAUUCCAGGUGUAGCGGUGAAAUGCGUAGAUAUCUGGAGGAACACCGGUGGCGAAGGCGGCAUCCUGGACCGAGAUUGACGCUGAUGCGCGAAAGCCAGGGGAGCAAACGGG